This 301-nucleotide ribosomal RNA is filed under the name uncultured bacterium. Its description in RNAcentral is "partial 16S ribosomal RNA". It matches the Rfam family "Bacterial small subunit ribosomal RNA", at positions 509 to 807 of the family's 1533-position model. The record is from RNAcentral.
CAGCCGCCGCGGUAAAACGGAGGGUGCAAGCGUUAAUCGGAAUUACUGGGCGUAAAGCGUGCGUAGGCGGUUCGUUAAGUCUGUUGUGAAAGCCCCGGGCUCAACCUGGGAAUGGCAAUGGAUACUGGCGAGCUAGAGUGUGUCAGAGGAUGGUGGAAUUCCGCGUGUAGCAGUGAAAUGCGUAGAGAUGCGGAGGAACACCGAUGGCGAAGGCAGCCUCCUGGGCCAAUACUGACGCUCAUGCACGAAAGCGUGGGGAGCAAACAGGAUUAGAUACCCCAGUAGUCCCUGUCUCUUAUAC